GACAUAGGUGGCAAACGUUAUCCGGAAUUAUUGGGCGUAAAGGAUGCGUAGAUGGUAGAAUAAGUUACUGGUCGAUGCCGAACUCAAUUUGACGGAAGCUGGUAAUACUGUUCUGCUCGAGGGCAGGAGAGGUUGAUGGAAUUCUGUGUGGAGCGGUGAAAUGCGUAGAUAUCAAGUGGAACACCAGUGGCGAAGGCGAAUCCCUGGAAAAUACCUGACACUGAGGCACGAAAGCUAGGGGAGCAAACAGG
RNAcentral lists this ribosomal RNA (251 nucleotides) under uncultured bacterium. RNAcentral describes it as "partial 16S ribosomal RNA". It matches the Rfam family "Bacterial small subunit ribosomal RNA", at positions 524 to 776 of the family's 1533-position model. The record is from RNAcentral.